This 162-nucleotide unclassified non-coding RNA is filed under the name Geopora cooperi. RNAcentral describes it as "partial internal transcribed spacer 2". The record is from RNAcentral. Lineage: Eukaryota; Fungi; Ascomycota; Pezizomycetes; Pezizales; Pyronemataceae. RNAcentral also lists the same sequence under 1 other name.
AAAUCAUAUCAAGCAAUUUUGCAUGGUCAUGGAGGAAGAGUCCACCCGGUGUGGUCUCCCCGCCGAAAUGCAACGGCGGAAAGUCUCUGAUACUAGGCGUAGUAGUAACGUUCGCUUUGUAUCCGCAGUCAUUCCUGCCAGCGAAACCCCCACAAUUCUCUU